ACUGAGCCACCCAGGCGCCCCUUAGGAUUCCAUAUAUUAAGUGCCUCCAUGGAUCUGCUUUCAGCAGCUGGCUCUUUGGGUGAGACUGACGUCAUUUUCUCAGUGGCUUCUGUUCAAAACCACCCAAAGACAGAGUACAAGCAGGGGAGUGGCAGAGAGAGAGGGAG
This is a long non-coding RNA of Hyaena hyaena (striped hyena), 167 nucleotides long. RefSeq lists it as uncharacterized. Lineage: Eukaryota; Metazoa; Chordata; Mammalia; Carnivora; Hyaenidae. The record is from RefSeq and is a predicted model, not a curated record. The transcript is spliced from 3 exons.